UACGGGGGGGGCAAGCGUUGUUCGGAAUUACUGGGCGUAAAGGGGACGUAGGCGGCCAACUAAGUCCGACGUGAAAUCCCAAGGCUUAACCUUGGAACUGCGUCGGAUACUGGAUGGCUUGAAUUCGGGAGAGGGAUGCGGAAUUCCAGGUGUAGCGGUGAAAUGCGUAGAUAUCUGGAGGAACACCGGUGGCGAAGGCGGCAUCCUGGACCAUGACUGACGCUGAGGAGCGAAAGCCAGGGGAGCAAACGGG
This 253-nucleotide ribosomal RNA is filed under the name uncultured bacterium. RNAcentral's name for it is "partial 16S ribosomal RNA". It matches the Rfam family "Bacterial small subunit ribosomal RNA", at positions 524 to 776 of the family's 1533-position model. The record is from RNAcentral.